UAAUUUUUUAAUAGAAGUCAGAAAGCGCACAACUGAUACACUCAGUAUUUGGCACACCCUCAUUUCCUAAGCUAUUCGGUAACCAAAUUAUUUUUCAAGGAAAUGAUUUUUGGCAUGCCUUGUGCGAUAAAUUUCACAGAUUCUCACAUCAAUAUUUUACAUUAUAUACUACUAUUCUUCACAAAAAAUUACAAAUAAUUUUGACCUGCCUAGUGGGACUCAAGUCUCAUUUCAGCAUUCAAAACCAUUGUUUUUGUGG
This 259-nucleotide unclassified non-coding RNA is filed under the name Hevea brasiliensis (rubber tree). The record is from RNAcentral. Lineage: Eukaryota; Viridiplantae; Streptophyta; Magnoliopsida; Malpighiales; Euphorbiaceae.